AACACCAUUGUCACACUCCA
Molecule: microRNA, 20 nt
Filed under: Rattus norvegicus (Norway rat)
Lineage: Eukaryota; Metazoa; Chordata; Mammalia; Rodentia; Muridae
Description: rno-miR-122b
Gene: rno-miR-122b
Source: miRBase by way of RNAcentral